AUUGAACGCUGGCGGCAGGCCUAACACAUGCAAGUCGAACGAGUGGCGGACGGGUGAGUAAUGUCUGGGAAACUGCCUGAUGGAGGGGGAUAACUACUGGAAACGGUAGCUAAUACCGCAUACCAUCAGAUGUGCCCCCAUGGGAUUAGCUAGUGUGUGGGGUAACGGCUCACCAAGGCGACGAUCCCUGGCUGGUCUGAGAGGGUGACCAGCCACACUGGAACUGAGACACGGUCCAGACUCCUACGGGAGGCAGCAGUGGGGAAUAUUGCACAAGGGGCGCAAGCCUGAUGCAGCCAUGCCGCGUGUAUGAAGAAGGCCUUCGGGUUGUAAAGGACUUUCAGCGGGGAGGCGGGAACCGAAGAAGAAGCACCGGCUAACUCCGUGCCAGCAGCCGCGGUAAGAG
This 406-nucleotide ribosomal RNA is filed under the name uncultured bacterium. RNAcentral describes it as "partial 16S ribosomal RNA". It matches the Rfam family "Bacterial small subunit ribosomal RNA", at positions 29 to 526 of the family's 1533-position model. The record is from RNAcentral.